Molecule: long non-coding RNA, 1086 nt
Organism: Tripterygium wilfordii
Lineage: Eukaryota; Viridiplantae; Streptophyta; Magnoliopsida; Celastrales; Celastraceae
Exons: 2
Source: RefSeq, a predicted model, not a curated record
ACGUGUCUUUGACAACUUCUUCACGAAGCUUUUACGUUUGUCUCUCUGCAAUCUUCGAUGGAACACAAAAAGCUUUCCUCUCUCUUCUCUACCUCCACCCUACUCCGCGGCCGGCUCUGGUUUCCCUGCCAAAAACAAUGUUCACUUUUGCUUCUGUGGAGCUCCUCUCCUCUCCUACUCUGGUUGUGGGUAGACUUUAAUCGAAAGAGAGUGAAGUAUCGUCAUGGGUAUUGUUUGUUUCUGUUUGCAUGUUGAGGAUGUUGGGGGAGUACAUGAAUCUACGCAGCUCAGUCAGUCUACGGGACCAGUAUGUGUCUCAGAUGCUUUUGUUUAAAUUUUCUAAUCCUGACUGGAGCUGGAAAAGAGGAAGAAGAUCGUCUGUGGAAGGUGGCACAGGAGGAGGUUCAAAAUGCCAGUAGAUUAUGGAUCAGAAGGAGAUUGAUGGGAAUAGUUUGGAGAAGGUCAUCCCUUCUACUGUUGUUUUUGGGUGUUUCUCGGGGAAUCUUAGCCUUGCUCUGGUGACUAUCCUUUUUUCUCCUCAGGAAUUUGUAGACGUGGACAGUUUUUGGCUGAUUUAAAUUGGGUGACGCUAUUGUUUCCUGUGUUAUUUACCAUGAUAUUUGUGGAUUCUAUGGGAUGUUUCUAUAGCAAGAUCUUUUAUUUGCUUUUUGUUUCUUGAACUGAUGAUGCAAAAGUCAUUUCCUGAUCUUUAUUAAUGAAGGUUUUGGGAAUAUAUUUGUGUAAGUGGUGAACUCAUUUAAACGAAACAAAUGUAUCCUAUUUUCUGGCCAUUUCUGAAUCGGUUGUUUAUUCUUCAUGUUCAUGUGUGCAGUUUCUUAGAUCUCUGAUUGACAGCUUUCGCUGGGUGAUAUGUAAAUAUGACCUCAACGCAGUGAUGCUAUGAGGACACUUUUGGCCUAAUUGUUUCAUGAUUGGCUAAGUUCCUUUUAAUGCAGAGAAUUUGUGUAUAAUGGGAAAUUCAUACAAUAUUUUCCACUUUCAGGUUGAAUUUUAUUAAAAAUGUAAGUGUCUUGAUGUUGGAGUGCAGAAAGAUUUAUUAAGAUUGGGCAUGUCCAAUUUACUGCA